RNAcentral lists this ribosomal RNA (205 nucleotides) under Clostridioides difficile. Its description in RNAcentral is "partial 23S ribosomal RNA". It matches the Rfam family "Bacterial large subunit ribosomal RNA", at positions 2363 to 2567 of the family's 2925-position model. Lineage: Bacteria; Bacillati; Bacillota; Clostridia; Peptostreptococcales; Peptostreptococcaceae. The record is from RNAcentral.
GAGAGCUUGAUUGCAAGACAUACAGGUCGAGCAAGGAUGAAAAUCGGACUUAGUGAUCCGGUGGUUCUGCGUGGAAGGGCCAUCGCUCAACGGAUAAAAGCUGCCCUGGGGAUAACAGGCUUAUCUCCCCCAAGAGUCCACAUCGACGGGGAGGUUUGGCACCUCGAUGUCGGCUCAUCACAUCCUGGGGCUGUAGUAGGUCCCA